RNAcentral lists this ribosomal RNA (199 nucleotides) under uncultured bacterium. RNAcentral describes it as "partial 16S ribosomal RNA". It matches the Rfam family "Bacterial small subunit ribosomal RNA", at positions 328 to 539 of the family's 1533-position model. The record is from RNAcentral.
ACGCUCGACACCUACGGGAGGCCGCAGUCGGGAAUAUUGCGCAAUGGAGGAAACUCUGACGCAGUGACGCCGCGUAUAGGAAGAAGGUUUUCGGAUUGUAAACUAUUGUCGUUAGGGAAGAUACAAGACAGUACCUAAGGAGGAAGCACCGGCUAACUAUGUACCAGCAGCCGCGGUAAUCUGAGCGGGCUGGCAAGGC